UACGUAGGUGGCAAGCGUUAUCCGGAAUUAUUGGGCGUAAAGGGUGCGUAGGCGGUUUAUUAAGUCUGGGGUGAAAGUGCAGGGCUCAACUCUGUAUGGCCUUAGAAACUGGUAGACUUGAGUGUAGGAGAGGGCAGUGGAAUUCCAUGUGUAGCGGUAAAAUGCGUAGAUAUAUGGAGGAACACCGGUGGCGAAGGCGGCUGCCUGGCCUAUAACUGACGCUGAGGCACGAAAGCGUGGGGAGCAAAUAGG
Molecule: ribosomal RNA, 252 nt
Filed under: uncultured bacterium
Lineage: Bacteria
Description: partial 16S ribosomal RNA
Rfam family: Bacterial small subunit ribosomal RNA
Source: RNAcentral